Long non-coding RNA from Papaver somniferum (opium poppy), 1543 nucleotides. RefSeq lists it as uncharacterized. The transcript has 9 exons. Lineage: Eukaryota; Viridiplantae; Streptophyta; Magnoliopsida; Ranunculales; Papaveraceae. The record is from RefSeq and is a predicted model, not a curated record.
UUUAUCACUGGCUCACUGCUUCUCUUCUCUUCCCUCGUUUCUCCACACUCGUUAAUCAUCUGACCAUUGAAGAACCGUGUAAGACUAACGAGUUUAGGGUUUCGAUUUAGUUUCGAUCUGUGGUUCGUCGGAUUUGGAGUUUUGAAGAACUGAUCUUGAAUCUCAGCUUAGAAGGAAGAAGCAUCUGGGGUUGGGAGGAAUGAAUGCUUUGAUUUUGUAACCAUCUACAGAUUCUAUAUCCAGUCUAUGAUUUAGUCCUAAAGGAAAUUAUCUUGUUGCUACUUCAUGGUAUAAUCAGGUUAGAUGUUGGGAAAUACAAAGAUCAAGAACCAAUACGGGAAGUGUUGCAGAAGCAGCAAUAGCUGAUGACCAACUGGUAGAAGUUGGUGGAUUUAUUUAACUUUUAUGUGAAUGCAUAAAGUUUCAGCCACUGUUGCUGAGUUUAAAGGUUGAGAUAUUUUUGGUGUGGUACGCGUGGCCCAAGUGAGCAUGGAAUUAGCAAGAUUUGAAGCAAACUUUAGUGGAUUGUCACCUCGAAAACAUGGAUGGACUAUAAUGAGUAUGGGGAUUUGACUAGAAAAGUGGCAAGUACUGGGGAAGUGUUCAAUUCAAUCCAAUAAAAACACCAUGACAGAACUCAGUGGAGCAAGGCUGAUCAAACACAGGCAAGAUGUACAGAAUGAAUUUCAUGAGGAGAUACAGCAUCCAUUAACUCUGCAUCAGAUUCAUUGAUUCAGGUAGAAGGCAAACCUCAAGCAUCACACUCCCUAUCCCUGUUAAACCACGGUAUGAUGUCACCUUCCCAUCAAAUUUAUUAGCAAAUCCACAACGUGCAGCCGUCACUCCCAGCCCAAAAUCACAACCAUAAAUUUCAAAUCUAGGUGAAUUUCCCAUCAGUACGGUAGCAUUAUCUAACAAAGGCCCCAUCUUAAGUAUAUAUGGUUGGGUUUGGAUGAGAAGGUGCGGGUUUCUGAAAGAGAAGACCAUCUUUGAGAAAAGUGGUUUCAAAUAGCGGCAGAUCUUUUAAUGUAAAUUGAAAAGUGGCAGAUCCCAUGGAGUCAAAUAGCGUGGUUUCUUUGACUCUUCUAAAACUUGGUGGUUACACCUUGCCAGCAUACAGGUGGUACAAAGGAACACCCUGAGGAGUAUAUUUACUUGGAGAAUGGUAGCAGCCUUAAAGAAGUAUUGGGUUUGUUGAAGGAUAUUCCCUUGGAGAAGCUGAAGGCAACAAUUCAAAGUGCAAUUUCCACUGCACACGUGAAAAACACAAGUACCUGUAUGUAUUGUAAAGGUUUGUGCAAGUAUGCAAUAAAUGCCUGGAAGCCAGGAGAUCUUGUGCAAGCCCAGCUGGUAAAACUGGUGAUGAGAGGUAUGAUACUGCUCGGAUAUUGAAAUGUGUACUCUUUAGUUGUGUCCCUUCUCUAUCACGGAACUGGAAUCAGAUUUUGUUUGUAUUGGUAUUUAACCCCUGUUUUUACUUAAAGUGAUUGUUUUUUUUUCCUUUCAUGUAUGGCUUAGAAAUGUAGUUUUCUUUUGUUGAUAA